AACACAUAGUGAGAGCAUUAUCUUCGGUAAUCAUUGAAACGCUCCUAUGCAUUGCAAAAAGGAUUCAUCAGUGAGUUGUCUGAAGGAGAAAAUCUUGUACCUCAAGGC
Molecule: small nucleolar RNA, 108 nt
Organism: Raphanus sativus (radish)
Lineage: Eukaryota; Viridiplantae; Streptophyta; Magnoliopsida; Brassicales; Brassicaceae
Source: RefSeq, a predicted model, not a curated record